Molecule: ribosomal RNA, 403 nt
Filed under: uncultured bacterium
Lineage: Bacteria
Description: bacterial SSU rRNA
Rfam family: Bacterial small subunit ribosomal RNA
Source: RNAcentral
GGGGAAUCUUCCGCAAUGGGCGAAAGCCUGACGGAGCAACGCCGCGUGAGGGAAGAAGGCCUUCGGGUUGUAAACCUCUGUUUUCAGGGAAGAAAGAAAUGACGGUACCUGAAGAGUAAGCCCCGGCUAACUACGUGCCAGCAGCCGCGGUAAAACGUAGGGGGCAAGCGUUGUCCGGAAUUACUGGGCGUAAAGGGCGCGUAGGUGGUUCAUUAAGUUAUAGGUGAAAGUUCGGGGCUCAACCCCGUGAUUGCCUGUGAUACUGGUGGACUUGAGUGCAGGAGAGGGUAGCAGAAUUCCCAGUGUAGCGGUGAAAUGCGUAGAUAUUGGGAGGAAUACCAGUGGCGAAGGCGGCUAUCUGGACUGUAACUGACACUGAGGCGCGAAAGCGUGGGGAGCAAAC